Molecule: unclassified non-coding RNA, 282 nt
Filed under: Hevea brasiliensis (rubber tree)
Lineage: Eukaryota; Viridiplantae; Streptophyta; Magnoliopsida; Malpighiales; Euphorbiaceae
Source: RNAcentral
UGACACAGACUUGGAGGACGUUGCCUAGCAUGCAUUAUAAUCAGCAGAGGCAGUUGCUUAUGGUUGUUGAUAGAAAGGAUAGGUCAUUUAAAGUUAUUGCCACCAGCGAUAUUUAUGGUGACAGGUCUUUGCCAACGGAGGUAUAUGAUUCAAAGAUCGACAAAUGGUCGCUUCACCAGACAAUGCCUGCUGUAAACCUUUGUUCCUCCAAGAUGGCAUUUUGUGAUUCAAGACUGUAUUUGGAAACUCUCUCCCCACUUGGUUUGAUGAUGUAUCGGCUGG